RNAcentral lists this ribosomal RNA (380 nucleotides) under uncultured eukaryote. RNAcentral describes it as "partial 18S ribosomal RNA". It matches the Rfam family "Eukaryotic small subunit ribosomal RNA", at positions 592 to 976 of the family's 1831-position model. The record is from RNAcentral.
CAAUAGCGUAUAUUAAAGUUGUUGCGGUUAAAAAGUUCGUAGUUGGAUUUCUGCCAAGGACGACCGGUCCGCCCUCUGGGUGAGUAUCUGGCUUGGCCUGGGCAUCUUCUUGGAGAACGUUGCUGCACUUCACUGUGUGGUGCGGUAUCCAGGACCUUUACUUUGAGGAAAUUAGAGUGUUUCAAGCAGGCUUCCGCCUUGAAUACAUUAGCAUGGAAUAAUAAGAUAGGACCUCGGUUCUAUUUUGUUGGUUUCUAGAGCUGGGGUAAUGAUUAAUAGGGAUAGUUGGGGGCAUUCGUAUUUAACUGUCAGAGGUGAAAUUCUUGGAUUUGUUAAAGACGGACUACUGCGAAANCANNNGCCAAGGAUGUUUUCAUNGA